Molecule: ribosomal RNA, 530 nt
Filed under: Phomopsis sp. D131_114
Lineage: Eukaryota; Fungi; Ascomycota; Sordariomycetes; Diaporthales; Diaporthaceae
Description: eukaryotic LSU rRNA
Rfam family: 5.8S ribosomal RNA (bases 178-331)
Source: RNAcentral
UUGCUGGACGCGCCCCAGGCGCACCCAGAAACCCUUUGUGAACUUAUACCUUACUGUUGCCUCGGCGCAUGCCGGCCCCCCUGGGGGCCCCUCCUUCGGGAGGAGCAGGCACGCCGGCGGCCAACCUAACUCUUGUUUUUACACUGAAACUCUGAGAAUAAAACAUAAAUGAAUCAAAACUUUCAACAACGGAUCUCUUGGUUCUGGCAUCGAUGAAGAACGCAGCGAAAUGCGAUAAGUAAUGUGAAUUGCAGAAUUCAGUGAAUCAUCGAAUCUUUGAACGCACAUUGCGCCCUCUGGUAUUCCGGAGGGCAUGCCUGUUCGAGCGUCAUUUCAACCCUCAAGCCUGGCUUGGUGAUGGGGCACUGCUUUUACCCAAAAGCAGGCCCUGAAAUUCAGUGGCGAGCUCGCCAGGACCCCGAGCGCAGUAGUUAAACCCUCGCUUUGGAAGGCCCUGGCGGUGCCCUGCCGUUAAACCCCCAACUUCUGAAAAUUUGACCUCGGAUCAGGUAGGAAUACCCGCUGAACUU